UUGCGGUCUUGUCUCUUCCAAU
This 22-nucleotide microRNA is filed under the name Fragaria vesca subsp. vesca. Its description in RNAcentral is "fve-miR11291". Lineage: Eukaryota; Viridiplantae; Streptophyta; Magnoliopsida; Rosales; Rosaceae. The record is from miRBase by way of RNAcentral.